GAUGAACGCUGGCGGCGUGCUUAACACAUGCAAGUCGAACGAAGCACUUUAUUUGAUUUCCUUCGGGACUGAUUAUUUUGUGACUGAGUGGCGGACGGGUGAGUAACGCGUGGGUAACCUGCCUUGUACAGGGGGAUAACAGUUGGAAACGGCUGCUAAUACCGCAUAAGCGCACGGCAUCGCAUGAUGCAGUGUGAAAAACUCCGGUGGUAUAAGAUGGACCCGCGUUGGAUUAGCUAGUUGGUGAGGUAACGGCCCACCAAGGCGACGAUCCAUAGCCGACCUGAGAGGGUGACCGGCCACAUUGGGACUGAGACACGGCCCAAACUCCUACGGGAGGCAGCAGUGGGGAAUAUUGCACAAUGGGCGAAAGCCUGAUGCAGCGACGCCGCGUGAGCGAAGAAGUAUUUCGGUAUGUAAAGCUCUAUCUGCAGGGAAGAUAAUGACGGUACCUGACGAAGAAGCACCGGCUAAAUACGUG
This 481-nucleotide ribosomal RNA is filed under the name uncultured bacterium. RNAcentral's name for it is "partial 16S ribosomal RNA". It matches the Rfam family "Bacterial small subunit ribosomal RNA", at positions 28 to 507 of the family's 1533-position model. The record is from RNAcentral.